UUGUUGUCCUCCUCCAGGGUCUUCUAGUGACUGUAUUUGGAAUCGUCCUACGUGCAGCAGGUGCUGCUGAUGUGAACAGAGGAAGGUGUAUGAGAGAGGACCAUGACAACUGUUUAGAGUGUCAGUACGGGUGGUAAGGGCAACAGUGUUUGAAUAAAAGUGCAUUCUGCAACACUGGGUGUGAUCAGACGGGAAUCUGUUAUCAAUGUGAGCCUGGUUGGUUGGGGAAAUACUGUAACACAAGUUGCCCUGAUCACUGUAGACCCAACAGAGGUGGACGAGUGAACUGUGAGCGGGACACUGGCAGGUGUCAGGAAGGAUGUGAAUACGGCUGGUGGGGGGCCACAUGUAAUCGACCUUGUAGUACACACUGUCAGAAAGGAGCAUGUCUCCAGAUCAAUGGUGAUUGUGUUGGUGAAUGUGAGGAUGGAUGGUGCGGGGUGCAUUGUACUACACGAUGUCCUCCAGGGUGUGUACACACGAAAGGCUCUUUUCUUGGGAAAUGUUUAGAUGGUUGUAGUGCUGGUCUGUGGGGAGAGAAAUGUGACAGGACGUGUAGUCAGGCUACCGCAAAGAGCUUCCAGAGUAAUGGGACCAGUACGGGCGAAUGUAAGGACGGAUGGCACGGAUCGCAAUGUGAUACAAUGUGCUCUGUAAGUUGUCUGCUGGGGACAUGUGCCAGGCGGUCAGGGAUUUGCAAACAUGGAUGCAAAGUAGGCAUCUAUGGUGACAAAUGUGAGCGUGAAUGUAGCUUCCAGUGUAAGGAUUCCAUGUGUGAUAAGAACGGAAGGUGUGUACAGGGUUGUAACGCGGGAUUUCGGGGCAGCUCUUGUCAUGUGACCUGUCCUGCCAACUGUCUGACAUGUGAACAAGACACAGAUGUCUGUACAAGCUGCAAGUUAGGAUGGACUGGAAGUCUGUGUCAGUCAACUCAACCUUAUACUUCAGGUGGCACAUACAUCCGUAUUGAUACUGUUUUUAUGGAAGCCUGUGUGAUGAUGAGUUUGAUCAGCGGGGUCGUACUAGGGAACAGAUUGUCUUAUCACUAGGUCCCACAUGGAAGGACUGUCUGGCAGUUGACAGUUCCAUCCGGUUGUCCACAUCCAUAGUAUCGAAGAGAGAAGAUAUUGCAGCAUUCUGUAUAGACUUUCAUAAC
Haliotis rubra (blacklip abalone) is the source of this 1156-nucleotide long non-coding RNA. RefSeq lists it as uncharacterized. The record is from RefSeq and is a predicted model, not a curated record. The transcript has 3 exons. Lineage: Eukaryota; Metazoa; Mollusca; Gastropoda; Lepetellida; Haliotidae.